This 83-nucleotide transfer RNA is filed under the name Mesorhizobium sp. Its description in RNAcentral is "tRNA-Glu". Lineage: Bacteria; Pseudomonadati; Pseudomonadota; Alphaproteobacteria; Hyphomicrobiales; Phyllobacteriaceae. The record is from RNAcentral.
UCGCACAUGCCUGAACGCCAAAGCCCCGAAUAGUCAGCCCUUUCACGGCGGUAACAGGGGUUCGAUUCCCCUUGGGCGUACCA